GUGUUGUUAAUGUCUCUAGGACGGUCUCUGCUGUUCUCUGGUGACGUGGAACCAUGACAACCUGAGUGUCGUUAAUGUCUCUAGGACGGUCUCUGCUGUUCUCUGGUGACGUGGAACCAUGACAACCUGAGUGUCGUUAAUGUCUCUAGGACGGUCUCUGCUGUUCUCUGGUGACGUGGAACCAUGACAACCUGAGUGUCGUUAAUGUCUCUAGGACGGUCUCUGCUGUUCUCUGGUGACGUGGAACCAUGACAACCUGAGUGUCGUUAAUGUCUCUAGGACGGUCUCUGCUGUCCUCUGGUGACAGGUGGAACCAUGACAACCUGAGUGUCGUUAAUGUCUCUAGGACGGUCUCUGCUGUUCUCUGGUGACGUGGAACCAUGACAACCUGAGUGUCGUUAAUGUCUCUAGGACGGUCUCUGCUGUCCUCUGGUGACAGGUGGAACCAUGACAACCUGAGUGUCCUUAAUGUCUCUAGGACGGUCUCUGCUGUCCUCUGGUGACAGGUGGAACCAUGACAACCUGAGUGUCGUUAAUGUCUCUAGGACGGUCUCUGCUGUUCUCUGGUGACGUGGAACCAUGACAACCUGAGUGUCGUUAAUGUCUCUCGGACGGUCUCUGCUGUUCUCUGGUGACGUGGAACCAUGACAACCUGAGUGUCGUUAAUGUCUCUCGGACGGUCUCUGCUGUUCUCUGGUGACGUGGAACCAUGACAACCUGAGUGUCGUUAAUGUCUCUAGGACGGUCUCUGCUGUUCUCUGGUGACGUGGAACCAUGACAACCUGAGUGUCGUUAAUGUCUCUAGGACGGUCUCUGCUGUUCUCU
This is a long non-coding RNA of Oncorhynchus keta (chum salmon), 825 nucleotides long. RefSeq lists it as uncharacterized. Lineage: Eukaryota; Metazoa; Chordata; Actinopteri; Salmoniformes; Salmonidae. The record is from RefSeq and is a predicted model, not a curated record. The transcript has 3 exons.